CCGGCCGCCUUUUGCCUUAUUAGCGGCGAGUGAGCGGCAAAAGCUCAAAUUUGAAAUCUGGCGCCUUCGGUGUCCGAGUUGUAAUUUGAAGAUUGUAACCUUGGGGUUGGCUCUUGUCUAUGUUUCUUGGAACAGGACGUCACAGAGGGUGAGAAUCCCGUGCGAUGAGAUGCCCAAUUCUAUGUAAGGUGCUUUCGAAGAGUCGAGUUGUUUGGGAAUGCAGCUCUAAGUGGGUGGUAAAUUCCAUCUAAAGCUAAAUAUUGGCGAGAGACCGAUAGCGAACAAGUACAGUGAUGGAAAGAUGAAAAGAACUUUGAAAAGAGAGUGAAAAAGUACGUGAAAUUGUUGAAAGGGAAGGGUUUGAGAUCAGACUCGAUAUUUUGUGAGCCUUGCCUUCGUGGCGGGGUGACCCGCAGCUUAUCGGGCCAGCAUCGGUUUGGGCGGUAGGAUAAUGGCGUAGGAAUGUGACUUUACUUCGGUGAAGUGUUAUAGCCUGCGUUGAUGCUGCCUGCCUAGACCGAGGACUGCGAUUUUAUCAAGGAUGCUGGCAUAAUGAUCCCAAACCGCCCGUCUUGAAACC
RNAcentral lists this ribosomal RNA (580 nucleotides) under Meyerozyma guilliermondii. RNAcentral's name for it is "eukaryotic LSU rRNA". It matches the Rfam family "Eukaryotic large subunit ribosomal RNA", at positions 64 to 661 of the family's 3401-position model. The record is from RNAcentral. Lineage: Eukaryota; Fungi; Ascomycota; Pichiomycetes; Serinales; Debaryomycetaceae.